Molecule: ribosomal RNA, 253 nt
Filed under: uncultured bacterium
Lineage: Bacteria
Description: partial 16S ribosomal RNA
Rfam family: Bacterial small subunit ribosomal RNA
Source: RNAcentral
UACGUAGGGACCGAGCGUUGUCCGGAAUCAUUGGGCGUAAAGAGCGUGUAGGCGGCCACUUAAGUCCUGCGUGAAAUCUUGCGGCUCAACCGCAAGCGGUCGUGGGAAACUGGGUGGCUAGAGUGCGGGAGAGGAGAGUGGAAUUCCUGGUGUAGCGGUGGAAUGCGCAGAUAUCAGGAAGAACACCAGUGGCGAAGGCGGCCCGCUGGGCAGUGGCUGACGCUGAGGCGCGACAGCGUGGGGAGCAAACAGG